This 492-nucleotide ribosomal RNA is filed under the name uncultured bacterium. Its description in RNAcentral is "bacterial SSU rRNA". It matches the Rfam family "Bacterial small subunit ribosomal RNA", at positions 29 to 518 of the family's 1533-position model. The record is from RNAcentral.
AUUGAACGCUGGCGGCAUGCUUUACACAUGCAAGUCGAACGGCAGCGGGGGCUUCGGCCCGCCGGCGAGUGGCGAACGGGUGAGUAAUGCAUCGGAACGUGCCCAGUCGUGGGGGAUAACACAUCGAAAGAUGUGCUAAUACCGCAUACGUCCUGAGGGAGAAAGCGGGGGAUCUUCGGACCUCGCGCGAUUGGAGCGGCCGAUGUCGGAUUAGCUAGUUGGUGGGGUAAAAGCCCACCAAGGCGACGAUCCGUAGCGGGUCUGAGAGGAUGAUCCGCCACACUGGGACUGAGACACGGCCCAGACUCCUACGGGAGGCAGCAGUGGGGAAUUUUGGACAAUGGGGGCAACCCUGAUCCAGCCAUGCCGCGUGAGUGAAGAAGGCCUCGGUUGUAAGCUCUUCGGACGGAAGAAAUACGCCGCCUCUAACAUAGGCGGUGGAGUGACGGUACCGUAAGAAGAAGCACCGGCUAACUACGUGCCAGCAGCCGC